UUGAGAAAAAAAAAAGGAAUUGGGAAAUUAAAUAAUUCCGAGAGGUGGAGAUGAAUACUGGGCAUAAACAUUUUAAACUUAAUUUCAAUAAAUUUUAAUAAUUUAAAAAUCUUGUGAUCCAUGUAACAUUUUAAAAAAAUUAUAGGUCAAUGCAAAUAUUUUAUGCGGUUGUGCCAAGAGACAAAAAAAACAGUCAAAGACAUCGUAAUAAUUUAUUCUUUAAAAUUAUCAUACCAACCCUAAUGGAUCGAUUAAAAAGGGGAGAUUUGGUAAGAAUUACCCAAUGACUAAACCCGGCUUAUAUAUAUUUCAACUUUUAAAACUUUUGACGGUUCUUAGAGACUAAAGUCAUUUUUAUGCAGCUUAAUGUGUUUUAUAAUAUAAAAAGCAUUCACGGAACUACGCAAUGACUAAACCCGGUGUGAAGAUAAGAACUUGAUGAGCAAGUCUUAGCAAUAUUCAAAUGCUAACCAAAGAAGAACUCAGGUUAAAGUAAGGUUUACUUGGGGUUGAGUUAGCAGACUUUAGACCACAAAGAAAAGGCUUACUAUUGGUGUAUAGGUCUGAGCACAAAACAGGACCGUUUGUCUCUAUGCGUUUGGCCUUAUCACAAUUGUAAGGGAGAAGUCUUUUGGCGUUUUGUAGCUGCACAAGACCAAGGUUGCUUCAUCCAUAAUAGUAGCAUUGGUCCAGAGAGAGAAAGCAGAGUAGAAGCGAGAGUGUUGAGCACACAAGAAGCAUUGUAAGGGCGAGAGAAACAAGAUGUAAAGGCGUAAGCCUUGGGUAGUUUCUAAGGGGUCUUACAGAGUGGUUUCCUUAGGCAUUCUUAGGAAAAUCACUUGUAACCUCUUGUAAUCCCUUUGUUCUAGUGGAUUCCGAGCAUAGUCUCGGCGAGAUGUAGCGACCCUCGUUAAUGGGCGUGAACUCGUUAAAUGUCUGUGUGUUCUCCUUCUCUUCUCUCUCACACUCUCUUAUCCAAAGCUCUCUCUGUUUCAUUCAUCUCAACAUAAAUCUGUUCUGUAUCUUUAAGUUAACACAACUAGAGUCUUGUCUGUUGGAGGAAAAUCUUAACACCCGGCUUAGAGUUUUAUCGAACUUGGUUGAACAUGGCUUAUGCAUGUAGUAUACAUAUAUGGACUUCAAACGUACACGGGAUGUUACUGUAGAGUUGUUAGAAUAAUUCGCAGCCGCUUUCCUAAAAGAUUGGAACUUCAGCAACAAAUAUGUUUUCGUUCGAUAAAAUUAAAAGCAACCAUUAUGAACCAAAAUACAUAAAUUAUAACUGGUGACAUAAAAGGAAACUGAUUAAUAUAUGGAGUAUACAGCAGAUUGAACUGACUAGACCUGGUCUUAAAUGGAGUGAGGGCCGGCUAAUUCUGAUUAAUAUCACAUACUAAUUCUGAUUGUAUCACAUACUAAUUCUGAUUGUAUCACAUCACCAAUUUCAUUGCUACCUGUCGAUUCCUAUAGUGAAAUAUGAACGCAGUUAGAGAGACAACUAAACUUAAAUUAUCUAAUAUAGUACGUUUGUUUUGUCCCAUAGUUAAACUUGUCUCAUUUAGCAAGUUUGUUUUACUCCACAAUCAUUUCGACCCCUAUUGGAAUUCAAUGAACGGUGUUAAUGAGAGCACUUUAGGUUUACUUACAUCAUCAUUUUCAUGGAAAAUUUUCAUUAAUAAGGAACUGUAAUCAGCUACUUGAACUGAACCACCAUAGAUGUGAUGUUUAAGACUGAGCGACAAAUUUAUGAAGGAGCAUAUUUUAUCACUGGAUUGUCAGCUACAAAUUCCGAGAAAACCAAGAGAUUGUUCUUCUAAAAAUCUACUUUCUCCAUUUCAAUUUAAUUAUCAUUCUAAAACAAAAAAAAAACAAAAUAAGUAUCGUUUUAUUAUUUCAAUGCAAAAUUUAUUACCAAGAGUUUCUUUUUUUUUUUCUAUUAGUUGAAAUAUGGUUAGGUAUAUAGAUAAUGAUGUUUUUAUUUUGAAAAUGUACACAAUUAAAUGUUUUUUAAUUUUUGUAUAUAAACUUAAAACGCCAAUUAAAAUAAAACGGAAUGAGUAUAGUCAUGACGUUUGACGUUGUUACAGUUUCAAUGAAAUUGUAUCGGCGUCGUUACACUUUCGUUUACAGAAUCAGGGAUGCAUUGUUUGCAUUGAGGUACGUUACGACAACCCCGUAGCUCGUAAUUUAAUACCACUACCACAUGUAAUGUUGUUAUUUUUUUAUUAAUUAAGAGUGUGCUAUUAAAAUGCUGAAAGUAAUACAAGAAUAUGAAUUUUGGAUCAUAUAGUUUGGAAGAGCUUCUUUUUUUUUUUAAGUUUGGAAGAGCUGCUUAAGGAAGUAGUAGACAACAUAGUGUACAUUUCAUACUUCACAUGCAAUCACGAGGUCAGCUUGGAUCAUUAUAGUUUGGAAGAGCUGCUUAAGGAUGUAAUAAACUGAAUGUUAUUUCAAAGCUUACAUAUUUCACAUGCAAUAUUGAAGUCAUUUAUCGUUAUGUUUCAUAUGUUGACUAAAAUAAGUAAACGUUCCAAAUUUGUAUUUCACGUUUUAAAAGAUUAAGAGGACAUCCAAUACAGUUUUCUAUCGUUUUCUUUUUCUUGCUUCUUUUUUUGGUGGAUUUAGUACUUGUCUUUUCGAAUUGUCCAGUUGAUGAAAUAUGAAAUGAAAUUUGUAACCAGGUUCCUAUUACUUUUUAAAAAAGUUGGGAAGAUUUCCGCUAGAUAAUUUGGCUUUAUUCUAUACGAUAAUUUCACCAUAAACAUUGCGCGUCUGGUUCACAUGUUGUAAAACUCAUCAAAGACAAAAUGUAAGAUGUUGAAGACAAGUUUCAGACCAUGAUUAAUCCGGACUCUUAGGGUGAGGUUUUUCGGCUAAGAACCGUUUCUUAGCUUUUAACUAAGAAAAGUUAAAAACUGUCUUUUAAAUAAAAUAUAUAAGAGCCGGUUCUUAGCCAAAAAAUGUAAAAAAAAGUAUCAAAUCAUGAAUUGAGAACCCCAAAUUAAGAGUCCGGAUUAAUCAUGAUCUCACACACUAUUAUAUUUUUGGACCACCACCAUGUCCAGUCGUACUACGAUUAUAACCAGUAAGAAGCAAAAAAAGAAAACACAAUAUAUAUUUGUUAUACAGUCCUUCUAUCAUCUAUGAUUAUCACUAGGCAGUGUGCAAACCCCACAUAGUCAUAAAAGUGAAACACAUACAAGAUAUGUGUUCUGUGAUCGUUUUGUCAUCUAUAAUACUAACAACUGUUGGGGGUAGAUUUACAUCCUCCUCAAAGCCCAUUACACAUUUAACUAGGCUCAUAUUGCUAGGAAGUCUUAGGCUUCAUCUUUCUAUAAAUAAGGAGAUCUUCCUUAUGAGAAAAGGGAUCUUCUCUCAUUUUACACAUUAAACACUUCAUACAAAGAGCUUAUUGAUUCUUAGAUUUAUUUACACUUGUAAUGAUACAUGUAUAUAAUCUUUAAUCAAUAAAUUCUUUUUGAUGUUAUUUUUCCAUUUGAUUUCUAUGUUGAUUUCUCUUUAGCCUCAAGAAUUUAAGAAAUCUAUUUCUUAAAUUUUUCAUUGUAUGAAUCCGACAAACACACCAUUUUCGGUUCAAACAGUUGGCGCUAGAAGGAGGGGGCAAAGAGAACAAUGUUCACAGCAUAUCAAACUUGGGAAAACCCUAGAUCUAGGGUAAAAAAAAACCUAGAUUCUCUUCUUCUUCUUUCAAUCCUCAGCCAUGCUCCCACGUCGCGCACCUCUCGCUGUCCCUAAAGUCCGCCGCGUCGGUUUCUUCACCUCAAUCGAACCCUCACCGGAGACGCCACGUCCAAAUCGAAGCCUAUCCGGUCCGGCGGAGGCGAUAACCUCCUCGUCUCCUCUCUCCGAUUCGCCCCCCGGUCAAUUCAUUUCUCCAGUUCAGAUACCGCUGUCGAGCCACCAUUUGGAUAACUUGGCCUCUCGCGCUUCUCCCGUCCCCGUCCCCGUCCCCGUCCCCGUCCCCGGACCUUCCGCGUUCCAUCGACAGCUGGCGAGUGACAGGGCUCUCCUCGUCGGGAGUUAUAAUCCUAUGGAUUCGCUGCUUGGGACAUCGCCGCCGUCGAGUAACGGAGAGGUGUCUGAGGAUUCGGGGUCCUUGUUUUCUCCAUGUACAGAAGGACCUGUGCUAUAAGCCCAACUCCCAGCAACUUGAGAAGCUAGAAGAUCUGACGUUCUUGGGUGUUUUGGCCUUCCUGACUCAUGAUCUCACAGUCAUGCUUCUGAGUAGCAUCCGCAUCUUCACAGGACGUAUCAACAACUUCGUUUCUGUCAGAUGUUUGUCAACUGUUUAUUCCCUGGCGGCGUUUGCGAGCGUUGUUCGAAAUUGCAGUGAGGACGCCCUAUACGUUCGAGUCGUAGCUUUGCAGCGGCUGAGAGGCGAUGUUAGCAGCGACGGAGACGAUGGAGUCCUUGGAGUUCAUCGACGAAGAUGAGAAGAGUCUGAUUCUUCUUGUAUCCUUGGCAACAAGAUCCCGAGAAGCCACCACUAGUUGCUCCCUGCAACUCAGCAAAACUCAGAAAAUUCUUGAGAUGCUUCUGUUUCUUACAGUGAGAAGGAAAUAAAGAAAGGCUCCCAACCAUUUCUUCACCGCAAAGAUAAGCCCUUUAACUGAAUCAUCACGUGCAUUAAUCACCUUAAUAUUAUACAUAUGUGUCAUGGUGAACAUUAUAGCUGUGGUUUAUUAUUUAAAAAAAAAACUCCUUAUAUUAUACAUAUGUCUCGCUCUCAUCAUAGCUAUGUCAUGAUUUAUGUUAUUGCUGAUGGCCUUUAGUAUAACUAGUUAGCAAUUAUCAUGUCCGUACGUUAUGCAAAAGUCGCUUGUUUCUUUUGGAUUUAUGUUGAUCUGAUCAUGACCAUACUUUUGUGAACCAAAGAUCGUUGAGCCAAAGGGAAAAAGAAUCAACAAACGAUUCAUGCUUCGAAAGAUGACUCUCAGCUACGAGCUCGUCGGAACCAGUACAAGCGACACAGACCAGCACGUUUCUCAACAUCAUCAUAGCCUGACAAACACACAAGCCAACAACUUGUUCGGCACACACGAUCUCAACACGCGACUUCGGGUCAGCAAUAGUUUGAGAUCGAUUCCAUCUCUCUCGACGAACUUGGGGGGACUUACUGUUGGGGGUGGAUUUACAUCCUCUUCAAGGCCCAUUAGACAUUGAACUAGGCUCAUAUUGCUAGGAAGUCCUAGGCUUCAUCUUUCUAUAAAUAAGGAGAUCCUCCUUAUGAGAAAAUGGAUCUUCUCCCAUUUUACACAUUAAACAUUUCAUACAAAGAGCUUAUUGAUUCUUAGAUUUAUUUACACUUGUAAUGAUACAUGUAUAUAAUCUUUAAUCAAUAAAUUCUUUUUGAUGUUA
Brassica napus (rape) is the source of this 5379-nucleotide long non-coding RNA. RefSeq lists it as uncharacterized. The record is from RefSeq and is a predicted model, not a curated record. The transcript is spliced from 2 exons. NCBI's taxonomy places the organism in Eukaryota, Viridiplantae, Streptophyta, Magnoliopsida, Brassicales, Brassicaceae.